This 509-nucleotide ribosomal RNA is filed under the name uncultured bacterium. Its description in RNAcentral is "bacterial SSU rRNA". It matches the Rfam family "Bacterial small subunit ribosomal RNA", at positions 29 to 526 of the family's 1533-position model. The record is from RNAcentral.
AGUGAACGCUGGCGGCAGGCCUAACACAUGCAAGUCGAGCGGCAGCGCAGCAGUAGCAAUACUGUGGGCGGCGAGCGGCGGACGGGUGAGGAACACAUCGGAAUCUACCUUCUUGUGGGGGAUAACGUAGGGAAACUUACGCUAAUACCGCAUAAGACCUGAGGGUGAAAGCAGGGGACCGCAAGGCCUUGCGCGAGAAGAUGAGCCGAUGUCCGAUUAGCUAGUUGGUGAGGUAAAGGCUCACCAAGGCGACGAUCGGUAGCUGGUCUGAGAGGAUGAUCAGCCACACUGGAACUGAGACACGGUCCAGACUCCUACGGGAGGCAGCAGUGGGGAAUAUUGGACAAUGGGCGCAAGCCUGAUCCAGCCAUGCCGCGUGUGUGAAGAAGGCCUUCGGGUUGUAAAGCACUUUUGUUGGGGAAGAAAAGACCGGGGUUAAUACCUCUGGUUCAUGACGGUACCCAAAAAAUAAGCACCGGCUAACUUCGUGCCAGCAGCCGCGGUAACAC